Molecule: long non-coding RNA, 1865 nt
Filed under: Sorghum bicolor (sorghum)
Lineage: Eukaryota; Viridiplantae; Streptophyta; Magnoliopsida; Poales; Poaceae
Description: long non-coding RNA (SBIC_LNC014586)
Source: RNAcentral
AUCCAUCAACAGGUCAUGCCAUUUUACACACAAUUCAUGGCUAACAGAAGCUAAGAUGAAAUACACAAUUUUGACCAAAAUGCUAGACUAGAGAUAUUCAGUUCCACAAUCUAUCUCAUAGUUUUCUUCUACUAUUUACAAAAUGGUCCACCUCUAGUAAGUCCAAACAAAAGUUUCCAUCUAUAGCUAGGAUGUCCAAAACACAUGGUCAUGAGCACUUUGAUCCAAUCAGUGGCUGCACUCUACUUCUUGCUAUUUCCUCCCACCACCUGUAAAGGAAAAGUUGAAAUUCAUAUGUUCAAUAUAUAAAUCAAAAGCUUACUAAGUCAUGCAGUAUGAAUUUACAAAAAUCCAAUCUUUGCCUCACAACAAUACAUUUGGUCCACUCUAGGGCUCAUUCUUUGAUAGUGCUCUGUGUUUGUGAACAUGUGCAAGCUAAGGCUGAUGGUUUUCUUCCUAGAGGUGUCAGUCUUCAUAGCUGCAUGACACCACAUGGGCUAGAUUGGACUGAAGUCCCACUUUUCACAUGACAAUGGUGGAGUGGUGACCGGCAGUGAGCCUGCUGCUGGCGCUGAUGAGAAAGAGUAGCUAGCUGGCUUACUGCAGCAACCUCUGAUCCUCCUCACGUGUGUAUACUAUGUACUCCACUAGUUUACAAGCUGUGUUGUGUAGAAGUAGAAGACAGAAUAAAAUCUUUGUUGAAAGAGAGGCAGAAUGAAACAUACAUUACAGUCUCUAUUCAUCUUGGGUCAUCAACUCUGUAGUCUAUAGAAUUUACUAGUCACUAUUGUGCAUAACCAUAACGUACAGAAGCAAGCAAUAGCAUGGGAACAAAUGACAGGCUACAACUAGUUUCUAAACUUAUUUGCUACUACAUAAUAGAAAUAUAUUGUGAACAUUUAAUAUCAGCACAGCCACAAUGUACUUGAGAAUAUUUUAAAAUCGGCAGUCACAAUAUACUUGAAUGAGAAUAGUGCACAAGUAAAUUUGCACUUCUAAGAAAAUAUCUGAAUUCACUACUUGAUUACAUAAUCAGCUAGCUGAGAACACAAUCAGCACUCCCUAACUUUAAUAUACAUAGGUUCUAAUAACUCAUAUCUGACAGCGUAAUACAUAAAGUGCAGCAAGUUGUAUGAUAUCCUAAAUGACAUGUAGAUGGGAAAAAAUUCAGAAUAGCACACCUGUUCCAUGGAAAAAAUUCAGAAUAGCACACCUGUUAUAUGAUAUCCUAAAUGACAUGUAGAUGGGAAAAAAAAUUCAGAAUGCACACCUGCUCCAAAAAGACAAAUAAAUUGGUGUGUUCCCAUAUGUAUGUAUAAUUAGAAAUUAACAUCUUCAGAUCUGACAAUUCACACAUGAAGGGAGGUGUCAUACCUUGCUGCCCUGAAUGGAGUAGCCUUCGAACCUUUGCCUUGCUGGUGCCUGUGCUACAGAGGAAAGCCUGAAAAGGACAAAUAAUAGGUCAGUCCAGGAUCUAUAUAUGAAUAAGCAGCAGAUCAAUACGACAGAAUGGGGAAUGAAUGAAGAACCAGCAGCUAGACAAAAACCUAUAGAUGGUGCAGCUUUUAUCAUGGCAGAGUCCAAGGAGCACCUUCUUCUUGUACACCUCAGUCAACCAUGACCACAACCUGCUGUUCCAAUAGAGCAAAUUACAGAUCCGUGAUUCAGUUAGUAAAAUAGAGGAACCAGAGAGGAUUGGGCACCGUACGGGAAGGAGAGGAGAAACUCGGAGGAAGUGGGAGCGCUGUCCAGGAAGGGGGCCUAGGUCACUUAUGGGGGGAGGGGGGGGGGCAGAGGAAGGGGCGAGCUGAGGUCACCGGCAUCGUCAGAGCUCGCCGGCGGGAAGAACCAAGCCCAGGUCGCCA